UACGGGGGGGGCAAGCGUUGUUCGGAAUUACUGGGCGUAAAGGGCUCGUAGGCGGCCAACUAAGUCAGACGUGAAAUCCCCAGGCUCAACCUGGGAACUGCGUCUGAUACUGGAUGGCUUGAAUCCGGGAGAGGGAUGCAGAAUUCCAGGUGUAGCGGUGAAAUGCGUAGAUAUCAGGAGGAACACCGGUGGCGAAGGCGGGUCUCUGGGCCGAUACUGACGCUGAGGAGCGAAAGCGUGGGGAGCAAACAGG
This 253-nucleotide ribosomal RNA is filed under the name uncultured bacterium. RNAcentral's name for it is "partial 16S ribosomal RNA". It matches the Rfam family "Bacterial small subunit ribosomal RNA", at positions 524 to 776 of the family's 1533-position model. The record is from RNAcentral.